RNAcentral lists this ribosomal RNA (250 nucleotides) under uncultured bacterium. RNAcentral's name for it is "partial 16S ribosomal RNA". It matches the Rfam family "Bacterial small subunit ribosomal RNA", at positions 30 to 278 of the family's 1533-position model. The record is from RNAcentral.
AUUGAACGCUGGCGGCAUGCCUUACACAUGCAAGUCGAACGGCAGCAUAGGAGCUUGCUCCUGAUGGCGAGUGGCGAACGGGUGAGUAAUAUAUCGGAACGUGCCCUAGAGUGGGGGAUAACUAGUCGAAAGACUAGCUAAUACCGCAUACGAUCUACGGAUGAAAGUGGGGGAUCGCAAGACCUCAUGCUCCUGGAGCGGCCGAUAUCUGAUUAGCUAGUUGGUGGGGUAAAAGCCUACCAAGGCAACG